GCUCAACCGGGGAGGGUCAUUGGAAACUGGGGAACUUGAGUGCAGAAGAGGAGAGUGGAAUUCCACGUGUAGCGGUGAAAUGCGUAGAGAUGUGGAGGAACACCAGUGGCGAAGGCGACUCUCUGGUCUGUAACUGACGCUGAGGCGCGAAAGCGUGGGGAGCGAACAGGAUUAGAUACCCUGGUAGUCCACGCCGUAAACGAUGAGUGCUAGGUGUUAGGGGUUUCGAUGCCCGUAGUGCCGAAGUUAACACAUUAAGCACUCCGCCUGGGGAGUACGGCCGCAAGGCUGAAACUCAAAGGAAUUGACGGGGACCCGCACAAGCAGUGGAGCAUGUGGUUUAAUUCGAAGCAACGCGAAGAACCUUACCAGGUCUUGACAUCCUUUGACCACCCAAGAGAUUGGGCUUCCCCUUCGGGGGCAAAGUGACAGGUGGUGCAUGGUUGUCGUCAGCUCGUGUCGUGAGAUGUUGGGUUAAGUCCCGCAACGAGCGCAACCCUUGAUCUUAGUUGCCAGCAUUGAGUUGGGCACUCUAAGGUGACUGCCGGUGACAAACCGGAGGAAGGUGGGGAUGACGUCAAAUCAUCAUGCCCCUUAUGACCUGGGCUACACACGUGCUACAAUGGAUGGUACAAAG
Molecule: ribosomal RNA, 637 nt
Filed under: uncultured bacterium
Lineage: Bacteria
Description: bacterial SSU rRNA
Rfam family: Bacterial small subunit ribosomal RNA
Source: RNAcentral